Molecule: transfer RNA, 24 nt
Filed under: Pristimantis atratus
Lineage: Eukaryota; Metazoa; Chordata; Amphibia; Anura; Strabomantidae
Description: partial tRNA-Ile
Source: RNAcentral
GGAAGCGUGCCUGAAACUAAGGAA